AAACAUUUCAUUUAGGAAGUGUAAAAAUGGCAUUUUUCCAGCAGCGAACCAUUUCCGCCCAUAAUCAGCAGAUGUGAGUACAUGGAGACAACAAUUUGCAUGCAAAUGUAAGCAUAUAACUGAACAGAGGCAUGAUGCUCAUUUAUCUUGUACUACUUAUUAUGUGUGUAUAUGUCUAUAGAUAUUCUAUAUAUAAAAGCCUACUUAAAAUAAAGUACUUUACAGUGGUCUUGGUUUGUGAUAUUUGCCCUGUUGGAUUUCUUCUCAGGCCAGACAGAAAGUCCUGUUUUGAUCCUGAAAGACUGUCAAGUAACAGGAACAGAUGGAAUUGGAGCCCAUUACAUUUUUCCAAAUGGGAACACAUCUGGAGCAUAAAUGAUUUUGGCUUACCAAAAUGGAAGGAAUGGCAUCAAGAAGCAUUCAACAGUUUCAGUGGAGGAAGAUCAGCACUGAAGUAAUGCAGGAAUCUGUGUUUGGACUUGCCUUUUAAUAUACUCAUAAAUGACCUGGAAAAGGGGAUGCUGUGUUAUGACAAAGUUUGCUGAUGAUACAGUUAUUUAAGGUAAAACCGGUGAAGACCAGUUAUGAAAGGACCAGGAGGUCCUUACAAGACUCAGUGGAUGGAUAUGGCAGGUUAAAUUAAAUGUAAAUAAAUAUAAAACAAUGUAUGUAUGGUGUGAAUAA
This 684-nucleotide long non-coding RNA is filed under the name Anas platyrhynchos platyrhynchos (common mallard). Its description in RNAcentral is "lncRNA (ENSAPLG00000018424.1)". The record is from RNAcentral. Lineage: Eukaryota; Metazoa; Chordata; Aves; Anseriformes; Anatidae.